This 1644-nucleotide ribosomal RNA is filed under the name Ctenophora environmental sample. RNAcentral describes it as "partial Bacterial large subunit ribosomal RNA". It matches the Rfam family "Bacterial large subunit ribosomal RNA", at positions 590 to 2290 of the family's 2925-position model. Lineage: Eukaryota; Metazoa; Ctenophora. The record is from RNAcentral.
UCCGUGACGGCGUGCCUUUUGCAUAAUGAGCCUACGAGUUACCGUUGCUAGCAAGGUUAAGUACUUAAGGUACGGAUCCGUAGCGAAAGCGAGUCUGAACAGGGCGCUUUAGUUAGUAGUGGUAGACGCGAAACCGUGUGAUCUACCCAUGGGCAGGGUGAAGCUGUGGUAACACACAGUGGAGGCCCGAACCGGUUGACGUUGAAAAGUCUUCGGAUGACCUGUGGGUAGGGGUGAAAGGCCAAUCAAACUCGGAAAUAGCUCGUACUCCCCGAAAUGCAUUUAGGUGCAGCGUCGGUUUAGUUUUAUAGAGGUAGAGCUACUGAUUGGAUGCGGGGGCUUCACCGCCUACCAAUUCCUGACAAACUCCGAAUGCUAUAAAAUGAUGACCGGCAGUGAGGGCAUGGGUGCUAAGGUCCAUGUCCGAGAGGGAAAGAACCCAGACCAUCAGCUAAGGUCCCCAAAUGUAUGUUAAGUUGAAUAAACGAGGUUGAACUGCUUAGACAGCUAGGAUGUUGGCUUGGAAGCAGCCAUUCAUUUAAAGAGUGCGUAACAGCUCACUAGUCGAGCGGUUCGGCAUGGAUAAUAAUCGGGCAUAAACAUACUACCGAAGCUAUGGACUUGUAAAAGUGGUAGGGGAGCAUUGUAGUGUCGUCGAAGGUGAAGCGUGAGCUUUGCUGGAGAAGCUACAAAAGAAAAUGUAGGCAUAAGUAACGAUAAUGCGGGCGAGAAACCCGCACUCCGAAAGACUAAGGUUUCCUCAGCUAUGCUAAUCAGCUGAGGGUUAGUCGGGACCUAACGCGAACCCGAAAGGGGUAGUGGAUGGACAACGGGUUAAUAUUCCCGUACCUGCUCACGCUAAAAGUGACGGAGGCGUAUAUUUGGUGCGAACUGACGGAAUAGUUCGUUGAAGGGAGCGGUAACGCCCCGAUAGUACACUGAGGCUACGGCCAAGGUGAUAAUCCAGAGAAGCGACUUCCAAGAAAAGCAAGUGAAGCAGCCCGUACCGCAAACCGACACAGGUAGUUGGGAUGAGAAUUCUAAGGUGCUCGAGAGAUUCAUGGCUAAGGAACUAGGCAAAAUAGACGCGUAACUUCGGGAGAAGCGUCGCCUGUAGUAAUACAGGCCGCAGUGAAAAGAUCCAAGCGACUGUUUAUCAAAAACACAGGGCUCUGCUAAAUCGAAAGAUGACGUAUAGGGCCUGACACCUGCCCGGUGCUGGAAGGUUAAGUGGAGGGCUUAGAGGUUUACCUCGAAGGUCUGAAAUGAAGCCCCAGUAAACGGCGGCCGUAACAAUAACGGUCCUAAGGUAGCGAAAUUCCUUGUCGGGUAAGUUCCGACCUGCACGAAUGGCGUAACGACUUCCCCGCUGUCUCCAACAUCGACUCAGCGAAAUUGAAUUGCCUGUCAAGAUGCAGGCUUCCCGCGGUUAGACGGAAAGACCCCAUGCACCUUUACUAUAGCUUCGCACUGGCAACAGGUACAGCAUGUGCAGGAUAGGUGGUAGGCUUUGAAGCAGGGACGCCAGUCUCUGUGGAGCCUCCCUUGAGAUACCACCCUUGCUUUGCUUGUUGUCUAACCGCGGUCCGUUAUCCGGAUCCGGGACCCUGCGUGGUGGGUAGUUUGACUGGGGCGGUCGCCUCC